AUCGAACGCUGGCGGCAUGCCUUACACAUGCAAGUCGAACGGCAGCAUGAUCUAGCUUGCUAGAUUGAUGGCGAGUGGCGAACGGGCGAGUAAUACAUCUGAACGUGACUUGUAGUGGGGGACAGCUAGCCGAAAGUUUUACUAAUACCGAAUACGACCUGCGGGUGAAAGUGGGGGAACGCAAGGCGUCAUGCUAUAGACUCGGCCGUUGUCUGCUUAGCUAGUUGGUGGGGUCAAGACUCACCAAGGCGACGAGCAGUAGCUGGUCUGAGAGGACGCUCAGCCACACUAGAGCUGAGACACGGCCCAGGCUCCUACGGUAGGCAGCAGUGGGGAAUGGUAGACAAAAGGCGAGAGCCUGAUCCAACAAGGCGGCGUGUGUGAAGAAGGCCUUCGGUUUGUAAAGCACUUUUGUCCGGAAAGAAAUGGCUCUGGUUAAUACCUGGGGUCGAUGACGGUACCGGAUAAAUAAGGACCGGCUAACUACGUG
This 490-nucleotide ribosomal RNA is filed under the name uncultured bacterium. RNAcentral describes it as "partial 16S ribosomal RNA". It matches the Rfam family "Bacterial small subunit ribosomal RNA", at positions 30 to 507 of the family's 1533-position model. The record is from RNAcentral.